RNAcentral lists this ribosomal RNA (506 nucleotides) under uncultured bacterium. RNAcentral's name for it is "partial 16S ribosomal RNA". It matches the Rfam family "Bacterial small subunit ribosomal RNA", at positions 29 to 523 of the family's 1533-position model. The record is from RNAcentral.
AGUGAACGCUGGCGGUAGGCCUAACACAUGCAAGUCGAACGGCAGCACAGGAGAGCUUGCUCUCUGGGUGGCGAGUGGCGGACGGGUGAGGAAUACAUCGGAAUCUACCUUUUCGUGGGGGAUAACGUAGGGAAACUUACGCUAAUACCGCAUACGACCUUCGGGUGAAAGCAGGGGACCUUCGGGCCUUGCGCGGAUAGAUGAGCCGAUGUCGGAUUAGCUAGUUGGCGGGGUAAAGGCCCACCAAGGCGACGAUCCGUAGCUGGUCUGAGAGGAGGAUCAGCCACACUGGAACUGAGACACGGUCCAGACUCCUACGGGAGGCAGCAGUGGGGAAUAUUGGACAAUGGGCGCAAGCCUGAUCCAGCCAUGCCGCGUGGGUGAAGAAGGCCUUCGGGUUGUAAAGCCCUUUUGUUGGGAAAGAAAAGCAGCCAGUUAAUACCUGGUUGUUCUGACGGUACCCAAAGAAUAAGCACCGGCUAACUUCGUGCCAGCCGCCGCGGUAA